CUUCGGGAGCUGACGAGUGGCGGACGGGUGAGUAACGCGUAGGAAUCUGCCUUAUAGUGGGGGACAACUUGGGGAAACUCAAGCUAAUACCGCAUACGCCCUACGGGGGAAAGCGGGGGAUCUUCGGACCUCGCGCUAUGAGAUGAGCCUGCGUUAGAUUAGCUAGUUGGUGGGGUAAAGGCCUACCAAGGCGACGAUCUAUAGCUGGUCUGAGAGGACGAUCAGCCACACUGGGACUGAGACACGGCCCAGACUCCUACGGGAGGCAGCAGUGGGGAAUAUUGGACAAUGGGCGCAAGCCUGAUCCAGCAAUACCGCGUGUGUGAAGAAGGCCUUCGGGUUGUAAAGCACUUUCAAUUGGGAGGAAAACCUACCGGCCAAUACCCGGUAGCUUGACAUUACCUUUAGAAGAAGCACCGGCUAACUCCGUGCCAGCAGCCGCGGUAAUACGGAGGGUGCAAGCGUUAAUCGGAAUUACUGGGCGUAAAGCGUGCGUAGGUGGUUCGUUAAGUCAGAUGUGAAAGCCCCGGGCUCAACCUGGGAACUGCAUUUGAAACUGGCGGACUAGAGUUGAGUAGAGGGGAGUGGAAUUUCAGGUGUAGCGGUGAAAUGCGUAGAUAUCUGAAGGAACACCAGUGGCGAAGGCGACUCCCUGGGCUCAAACUGACGCUGAGGUACGAAAGCGUGGGUAGCAAACAGGAUUAGAUACCCUGGUAGUCCACGCUGUAAACGAUGUCAACUAGCCGUUGGUCCUCUUAACAGGAUUAGUGGCGCAGCUAACGCAUUAAGUUGACCGCCUGGGGAGUACGGCCGCAAGGUUAAAACUCAAAUGAAUUGACGGGGGCCCGCACAAGCGGUGGAGCAUGUGGUUUAAUUCGAUGCAACGCGAAGAACCUUACCUACCCUUGACAUCCAUAGAAUC
Molecule: ribosomal RNA, 922 nt
Filed under: uncultured gamma proteobacterium M84-D39
Lineage: Bacteria; Pseudomonadati; Pseudomonadota; Gammaproteobacteria
Description: bacterial SSU rRNA
Rfam family: Bacterial small subunit ribosomal RNA
Source: RNAcentral